GGAGGGAUGGCCGAGCGGUUUAAGGCACCGGUCUUGAAAACCGGCGUGGGGGCGACCUCACCGUGGGUUCGAAUCCCACUCCCUCCGCCA
This 90-nucleotide transfer RNA is filed under the name Rhizobiales bacterium 68-8. RNAcentral describes it as "tRNA-Ser". It matches the Rfam family "tRNA". From Rfam's summary of the family: Transfer RNA (tRNA) molecules are approximately 80 nucleotides in length. Their secondary structure includes four short double-helical elements and three loops (D, anti-codon, and T loops). Lineage: Bacteria; Pseudomonadati; Pseudomonadota; Alphaproteobacteria; Hyphomicrobiales. RNAcentral also lists the same sequence under 2 other names. The record is from RNAcentral.